GUUAUCUGAAGUACAAGUAAUCUCGCCUGCUCAAUGAUAAACAGCUGCAGUAACCUGACUGUGCAAAGGUAGCAUAAUAAUUCGCCUUUUAAUUGGAGGCUGGUAUGAACGGUGGAACAAGGAAGACAGUUAUAUACCUUGAACUUAAGUUAUACAUAAAAACGUGGAUAUCGAUUUUUGGGACAAGAAGACCCUAGAAGCUAGGAGGAUCUCUCGGUUGGGGCGACAAGCAAAGAUAAAGAACUUUUUAUUAGUUACUCUAGGGAUAACAGCGUAAUUAAAGUUAAGAGUCCUCAUUUAGGCUUUAGUUUGCGACCUCGAUGUUGAAUUAAAAGGUGAAGGAGCUUUAGUCUGUUCGACUAUUAAAUAUUUACA
This 375-nucleotide ribosomal RNA is filed under the name Dampetrus granulatus. RNAcentral's name for it is "partial large subunit ribosomal RNA". It matches the Rfam family "Bacterial large subunit ribosomal RNA", at positions 1833 to 2600 of the family's 2925-position model. The record is from RNAcentral. Lineage: Eukaryota; Metazoa; Arthropoda; Arachnida; Opiliones; Assamiidae.